RNAcentral lists this ribosomal RNA (458 nucleotides) under uncultured bacterium. RNAcentral describes it as "bacterial SSU rRNA". It matches the Rfam family "Bacterial small subunit ribosomal RNA", at positions 340 to 783 of the family's 1533-position model. The record is from RNAcentral.
UACGGAAGGCAGCAGUGGGGAAUAUUGCACAAUGGGCGCAAGCCUGAUGCAGCCAUGCCGCGUGUAUGAAGAAGGCCUUCGGGUUGUAAAGUACUUUCAGUCGUGAAGGAAGGUGUUAAGGUUAAUAACCUUAGCAAUUGACGUUAGCGACAGAAGAAGCACCGGCUAACUCCGUGCCAGCAGCCGCGGUAAUACGGAGGGUGCGAGCGUUAAUCGGAAUUACUGGGCGUAAAGGGCACGCAGGCGGUUAAUUAAGUUGGAUGUGAAAAUCCCCGGGCUUAACCUGGGAAUGGCAAUUCAAGACUGGUUAGCUAGAGUCUUGUAGAGGGGGUAGAAUUCCAUGUGUAGCGGUGAAAUGCGUAGAGAUGUGGAGGAAAUACCGGUGGGCGAAAGGCGGCCCCUGGACAAAGACUGACGCUCAUGUGCGAAAAGCGUGGGGAGCAAAACAGGGAUUAGAU